RNAcentral lists this long non-coding RNA (1644 nucleotides) under Brassica napus (rape). RNAcentral's name for it is "long non-coding RNA (BNAP_LNC013109)". The record is from RNAcentral. Lineage: Eukaryota; Viridiplantae; Streptophyta; Magnoliopsida; Brassicales; Brassicaceae.
UCUCAUAUUGCAUUAGUGUAUGUUGUUGAAUCAUAGACUAUGGAAUUUAAUGUGAGAUACUAUAGAACUUUGGUGAGAUACUGUUUACAUACAAAUCAGGUUUCGGAUAUCAAAUUUAACAUUUGCCUAAUACAAUUUUAGUUGGUUCAGCUGUUUCCUUGGUGAAGUGAAACUAAUAUAGUACUCAUGUAUAUAUAGGAUUUAUACACAAACAUGUUACAUAUGGAUCUAUACUAUCUUGAUAGGAAACGUUUACAAUAUACUAAAGAACUCUAAACCAGAUGAAAUGAGAAGGUGAAUCUUACAUAAUCUCAGAGAAACCCUAGAAAAAAUAAAGGAUAACACACCUUGGUCAUGUUUUGAUACAUCAUCAGAAAAAUUAUUCACACAUAAAAAGAAACAAACAAAUCAAUCAAAUAAACACACACACACACACACGUACUCUUCUGUUAAAUCCUAAACAAAUAUCAACUACGACUGCUAAACCCAUCACCUUUCAUCAUUUGAAGAAACUCUUUGUAAUUAACUCUACCAUCACCAUCAACAUCCACUUGCAUAAUCAUCUUCUUGCAACCUUCUUGGGUUUUACCUUGCUUGAGUCCCAAGGAACCCAUCACAGAUUUCAACUCCUCCACAGUGAUAAACCCAUCUCCGUCCUGGUCAAACACGUUAAAGGCUUCUUUCAUGUCCUCUUCUUCGGUUUCUCCAUCGUUGUGAUGCUCAUCGACAAUGGAUUGAAUUUUAAAUGUUGCAAAUGUCUUAGCAGGAUAUGUUGGUUGGCGUAAAUGAUUUGUGCGUUGUACACAAAAUGUAGUUAAUGGUCGUGCAAUACCUGGCAACACCAACAGAGGUUGAGUCACUACAUGCAGGAAGAGAUCCCAUGUUGCAGCUUUGUAGAACAUUUAGAGCAGGAUAUGUAGCACCCGCCACUGCUACCUAUAACAUUUUUAAAGAUAUAUAAGACCAUAUAACAUUUCGUUUUAUAUCUAAUACUAUAAUAGAUUUUUAGUCAAAAUAUAAUCCAAGAAUUGACUACAGAGCUGCACAAAAAGAGUAUUAUAAUACAUACUUACAUACUAAUUAAUGUUAAGACUUGGAUUGAAUAGAAUUUAAAUACUAAUACAUCUUCUUAAAUAGAAGAUUUGUAUGAUAGAAAUGGAUUUUACUAUAGUAUAUUUUUUUAAUAGCAUUUUUAUUUUAUAAUUAAACUAGAAAACAGAGAAAAAUAGCAAUUGACUCGAUCGUUUCGGUAGGAACACACUAGCGCUACGGUGUUUUCUUAAAAAAAUCGUUGAGAUUUCUGUACCGACUUUCCCGAUCUCAUAUUGCAUUAGUGUAUGUUGUUGAAUCAUAGACUAUGGAAUUUAAUGUGAGAUACUAUAGAACUUUGGUGAGAUACUGUUUACAUACAAAUCAGGUUUCGGAUAUCAAAUUUAACAUUUGCCUAAUACAAUUUUAGUUGGUUCAGCUGUUUCCUUGGUGAAGUGAAACUAAUAUAGUACUCAUGUAUAUAUAGGAUUUAUACACAAACAUGUUACAUAUGGAUCUAUACUAUCUUGAUAGGAAACGUUUACAAUAUACUAAAGAACUCUAAACCAGAUGAAAUGAGAAGGUGAAUCUUACAUAAUCUCAGAGAAACCCUAG